UCCUGCUGAUCCUGCAGGAGAUCGCUGCUAUUAGAGUUCGACUAAGCCAUGCAAGUCAGGUAGCAAUACCGGCGAAAUGCUCAGUAACAUGUCACUAACUUGCCCUUAAGUCUAGGAUACCCUUGGGAAACUGAGGUUAACACUGGAUAGGGAAUUAUUUCUGGAAUGAUUUUUUCCUGAAAAGAAAUGCUUAAGGAUAGGGUGGCACCGGAUUAGGCAGUUGGCGGUGUAAUGGACCACCAAACCUACGAUCCGUACGGGGGAUGAGAGUCCUAGCCCGGAGAGGGACACUGAGAUACUGGUCCCAGCCCUACGGGGUGCAGCAGGCGCGAAACCUUUACAAUGCACGAAAGUGUGAUAAGGGAACUCUAAGUGCUCAUGCAAUGCAUGGGCUUUUGCCAAAGGUAAAUACUUUGGCGAAUAAGUGGUGGGUAAGACUGGUGCCAGCCGCCGCGGUAACACCAGCGCCACAAGUGGGGAUCAGGUUUAUUUGGCCUAAAGCGUCCGUAGCAGGUUUUGUAAAUUUCUUGUUAAACUACUAUGCUUAACAUAGUAAUCGCAGGAAACACUGCAGAACUAGGAACUGGUAGGAGUAAGCGGUAUUUCUGGGGGAGCGGUAAAAUGUUAUAAUCCCAGAAGGACCACCUGUGCCGAAGGGGGCUUACUAGAACAGAUUUGACUGUGAGGGACGAAAGCUAGGGGAGCAAAAAGGAUUAGAUACCCUUGUAGUCCUAGCCGUAAACACUGCGAGCUAGAUAUGGCAUAAACUCCGAGUUUGUGCUGUAUCGAAAUGAAGAUGCAAGCUCGCCGCCUGGGAAGUAUAGUCGCAAGUCCGAAACUUAAAGGAAUUGGCGGGGGAGCACUACAAGGGGUGCGGCGUGCGGUUUAAUCGAAUUCAACGCCGGAAAUCACACCAGGAGCGACGGCAGGAAGAAGGUCAGUCUAAAGGGCUUACCUGACGCGCCGAGAGGUAUUGCAUGGCCGCCGUCAGCUCGUGCCGUAAGGUGUCCUCUUAAGUGAGGUAACGAGCGAGACCUGUGUUUUCAAUUGGUAACGAAGUGUUAACUGAUUGUCCACAUUGAAAAGACUGCCUAGGAAACUAGGAGGAAGGUGCAGGCAACGGUAGGUCGGUAUGGUCCGGAUCCUCUGGGAUACACGCGCGCAACAAUGGUAAAGACAAUGGGAUGCAACUCCGAAAGGAGAAGCUAAGCCUCUAAACUUUAUCUUAGUCUGGAUCGAGGUUUGUAACUCAGCCUCGUGACAUCGGAAUCCCUAGUAAUCAGAGUUUAUCAUACUCUGGUGAACAUGUCCCUGCUCCUUGCACACACUGCCCGUCAAACCAUCCGAGCAGGGUUUAGGUGAAUUUUAGUUCAAGUGACUAAAAUGAACCUAGGCUCAGUGAGGCGGGUUAAGUCGUCACAAGGUA
RNAcentral lists this ribosomal RNA (1426 nucleotides) under metagenome. RNAcentral's name for it is "bacterial SSU rRNA". It matches the Rfam family "Archaeal small subunit ribosomal RNA". The record is from RNAcentral.